CCUACGGGUGGCAGCAGAGGGGAAUAUUGGACAAUGGGCGAAAGCCUGAUCCAGCCAUGCCGCGUGUGUGAAGAAGGCCUUCGGGUUGUAAAGCACUUUCAGUGGGGAAGAAAGCCUUGGGGCUAAUACCCUCGAGGAAGGACAUCACCCACAGAAGAAGCACCGGCUAACUCCGUGCCAGCAGCCGCGGUAAUACGGAGGGUGCGAGCGUUAAUCGGAAUUACUGGGCGUAAAGCGCGCGUAGGCGGUCUGAUAAGCCGGUUGUGAAAGCCCCGGGCUCAACCUGGGAACGGCAUCCGGAACUGUCAGGCUAGAGUGCAGGAGAGGAAGGUAGAAUUCCCGGUGUAGCGGUGAAAUGCGUAGAGAUCGGGAGGAAUACCAGUGGCGAAGGCGGCCUUCUGGACUGACACUGACGCUGAGGUGCGAAAGCGUGGGUAGCAAACAGGAUUAGAUACCCCAGUAGUC
RNAcentral lists this ribosomal RNA (465 nucleotides) under Vreelandella stevensii. RNAcentral describes it as "partial 16S ribosomal RNA". It matches the Rfam family "Bacterial small subunit ribosomal RNA", at positions 338 to 795 of the family's 1533-position model. Lineage: Bacteria; Pseudomonadati; Pseudomonadota; Gammaproteobacteria; Oceanospirillales; Halomonadaceae. The record is from RNAcentral.